This is a long non-coding RNA of Chroicocephalus ridibundus (black-headed gull), 3045 nucleotides long. RefSeq lists it as uncharacterized. The transcript has 3 exons. Lineage: Eukaryota; Metazoa; Chordata; Aves; Charadriiformes; Laridae. The record is from RefSeq and is a predicted model, not a curated record.
UUAACGGUAAUGGAUAAUUAUAAAUUGCUUUGAUAGGUGUAUUAAACAAUGCGUGCUUGGGCUCCCCGGUGGCGAGUUGUGGUUCCCACACAGAGUGCGGGUGGUGGGGGGGGUUGAUGUCGGUACCAGAGGGAAAGCGGUAGGAACACGGGGGCAGGCACCAGCUUUCCCAAGGCGUUUAUCAGCCCAGCCCUGGCUCACUGCACAGCAGGCAUGCGGCCCGCAGACACGUGGAAAUUAAUGAUUAAGCCCCAAAUUUGGAAGCGAAGCCGUGGCGUUAGGAGAAGACAAGCCCAACGCGCCCCUCCAGCAGCAGGUGAAUCCUCCGCGCGGCGAUUUCGUCAAGCCAGUUCCUCCUGAAACAGGCCCAUUUGUCGGCGUCGCUGAGCACCUACAGUCCUGCUUGAAAUCAGCAGAAAGGCGGGAGCACGUCGCUCCGUGAGAGGAGAGGCUCCGUCAAUCGUGGAAAAAGGAAUUUGGCCUGAAGUCCCGUGAAGGCUGUGGAAAACUUCCAAGGGUUUCAUCUGGCUUUGUAUCGGUAUUUUGAGGGAACUGGGAGUGUUUCCUAGAAAAUGCGCACCCUUUCUCUCCCUUUUCACGUGGCUUUGGUGCCCAAACCACAACAUUUGGGUUUGCUGCUUUGUUUUUGUGCUGAACCCUUUCUGGUGUUGCGUUCUCCUGCCUUGUGUGGAUUUGGAGCUGCAGCUGAAGGAGCGGCGAGUCCCCGGAGUGACGUUACAUCCCAGCUUCAGCAACAUCCAACCCACCGUCCGAGGCGUGGCGGCGGGAAAAAGAAAGGAGAACCACUCGCCCUGGCUCCCGUUCCGUACCUGCAGAGCCGACUUCCAGAACUUGCAGGAAAUUCGAGAGGGACGUGAGCAGGAGCAGCAGUUAAAUGCCUUUGGUUCAUCUCAGAACCCGCAGCUGCUCAAGCCUGGACCCGUCUCUCGGAUGCCUGCGGGACUCUGAAGUGCUGCCAGCGAACCGAGAAGUCGGGACGCUCCGCCCAUGGCCCCGCGGUCUCCCUCCUCGGGAAGGUGAGAGGGAUGCCCAGAUGCCCUCAGAAAUGAAUUUCUGAUGAAAUUCCAGUAGUCUGAGGGCAAACUGUGGCUGUCGUUUCAGUAUUUUGGCAGUCGGAUUGCUAUGGGAUACGCAUCGCUCCGGUUACUUCUCUCCAUUCAAACCCUGACGGGGCCCCAUCCGUUGCUGCGAGUUCCUGGCCGAGUGCUGCCGUUCAAACACGCGGUCGCUUCACAGUAUCGGAUGGGGCCAAAUUUUCAUGCGUGUUGUCAGUCAUGUUCUCUAUAAACCACAAAGACCAUCCCACGGAGCCAUGCUGCUGGCUAUUUUUAUUUUAUUUUAUCACUACAGAGAGCAACCCGGCAAACUUAACCAUUUAUUUGGCAUGGCCAAGUGUUUACAUGCCCCCCAGCUAUAGCUUCAGAUGAGGAAAGUUUGCCUCAUAGCGCUCCAGAACUUGGCUUCUCAGUAGUGCCCGGUGACAGGACAAGGGGCAACGGGCACAAGCUGGAACACGGGAAGUUCCACCUAAACGUGAGGAGGAACUUCUUUGCUGUGAGGGUGGCAGAGCCCUGGCACAGGCUGCCCAGAGAGGUGGGGGAGUCUCCGUCUCUGGAGACAUUCCAACCCCGCCUGGACGCGUUCCUGUGCCACCUGCUGUGGGUGACCCUGCUCUGGCAGGGGGUGGGACGGGGUGAUCUCCAGAGGUCCCUUCCCACCCCCACCGUUCCGUGACUCUGUGGGGGAGCCAUAGGACAAGGGGGAAUGGUUUUAAACUGAGAGAGGGAAGAUUUAGAUGAGGUAUCAGGAAGAGAGUUAAAUGCCGGCUGUGUCUAAUUCAAUUUGGUCACUAUACAACCACGGUUAGCUCAGACUUUUCCCGGUCUUGCUGUUUUUUAAAAUAUAUUUAUAGGCAGUUCCUUUAUUCUAAAAUGGCCCUGAUUUUGGGAGCCGUUCUGCGGGAGAUAAGGGCCGAAGACAAGUGAGCGAGCUGAAAGAGCCGCACGUUAUUAACUCCUCCCGGUUUUUCAGGUUUCCCUUCAUUCAUGGGCGCACAAGGCUUUUUCUCUCGCGUGGCCUCCGUUUAUGGACAGGGCAGGCUCAGAAUCGGCCAUCAGACGGCAGGCAGUGAAUAACGAGUUAAGCUCGCGCACAGCAGUGGGUUUGUUUAAAGCGGUGUUUGCCGUGCAAAUAACACGAGCGAUCCAAGCGCGGUCGCGUCUCCUGGCUGUUUGCUGAACCUCUCCCUGCCCGUGGCUCCCGCUUGAGGGAAUGGUUUAAUACAGUCUAUUAAGCACUCAGACACCAAAAUUAAAGUGGAAUCUUCAUCAAAUAUCAGAUCCACUUGGUUCUUCCGACACACGCACCACCACCAACCCCCCCUUUAGACCUGUGUUUAUGAGGGUUUUAAAGUGCCGUGGGUCUCAGGAGGGGCCAGGGAAGUUGCACAAGAUGCUCCAACCUGAACGUGGCGGUUUGGAUCCCGGGUGCUUUUAAAGCAAAUUGACACUAUCGGGGAAAAAAAUAAAUAAAUAAUGCUGCUGCCACCUUGAAGAAGGUACAUAGUUUGAUAGAAUUGUAUAUUACUCAUUAAACAGCUUCUUUAAUACUUAAAUCCGCUUAUUAUCAAAUGAUGUGUUCAUAUGUCUGUAGUUUAAACGGCUUGAACUUUGUUCUUGAACGGGUUUGGGCUGUGCCAGGAGGUGCCUGUUAAAUUUACUGCCCUGGGAGCUGCCCCCACCUCGCCUGGCCUAAAAUAAACCCACAAAGGAAUAUGAAACGAGCUUCUCCCAGGCCGUUUGUAAAGGGGGGGAGGUGUUACGGUUUUCUUCCCUACCAUCUAAGUAUCUAAAUCGCCUUCCACACGACACCUGGGGCUGAUAUUCUGCAGCUGUAAAGAACCCUGUUGAGAACCCUCCUUCCUAUUGAUGGUGCCUCCGUCCUGCGUACAGGUGAUGUGACGUGGGUUUAACGCGCUGGAGUUUAUUGCUGCAUGACGACUAAUAAAGUAUUUAGAAGGGUUCA